GAUGAACGCUGGCGGCGUGCCUAAUACAUGCAAGUCGAGCGAACAGACGAGGAGCUUGCUCCUCUGACGUUAGCGGCGGACGGGUGAGUAACACGUGGAUAACCUACCUAUAAGACUGGGAUAACUUCGGGAAACCGGAGCUAAUACCGGAUAAUAUAUUGAACCGCAUGGUUCAAUAGUGAAAGACGGUUUUGCUGUCACUUAUAGAUGGAUCCGCGCCGCAUUAGCUAGUUGGUAAGGUAACGGCUUACCAAGGCAACGAUGCGUAGCCGACCUGAGAGGGUGAUCGGCCACACUGGAACUGAGACACGGUCCAGACUCCUACGGGAGGCAGCAGUAGGGAAUCUUCCGCAAUGGGCGAAAGCCUGACGGAGCAACGCCGCGUGAGUGAUGAAGGUCUUCGGAUCGUAAAACUCUGUUAUUAGGGAAGAACAAAUGUGUCAGUAACUAUGCACGUCUUGACGGUACCUAAUCAGAAAGCCACGGCUAACUACGUG
This 497-nucleotide ribosomal RNA is filed under the name uncultured bacterium. Its description in RNAcentral is "partial 16S ribosomal RNA". It matches the Rfam family "Bacterial small subunit ribosomal RNA", at positions 28 to 507 of the family's 1533-position model. The record is from RNAcentral.